AAAGGGGAGUCUUCAAGAAAGGCUGAGAGGAUACUUUAUCGUAUCGACCCAUAACCUGAUCUAGGUCAUGCUAGCGUAGGGAAGAUCGAUUUU
Molecule: non-coding RNA, 93 nt
Filed under: human gut metagenome
Source: RNAcentral